ACACGACUACAUUAGAUACCCCGGUAGUCCAGGGUGUAAACGCUGCGGGCUUGGUGUUGGGGGUCCUUUGAGGGCGCCCAGUGCCGGAGAGAAGUUGUUAAGCCUGCUGCUUGGGAGUACGUCCGCAAGGAUGAAACUUAAAGGAAUUGGCGGAGGAGCACCACAAGAGGUGGAGGCUGCGGUUCAAUUGGACUCAACGCCGGAAAACUCAUCGGGAGCGACAGCAGUAUGAUUGCCAGGUUGAUGACCUUGCUUGACAAGCUG
RNAcentral lists this ribosomal RNA (264 nucleotides) under uncultured archaeon. RNAcentral's name for it is "partial 16S ribosomal RNA". It matches the Rfam family "Archaeal small subunit ribosomal RNA", at positions 717 to 982 of the family's 1478-position model. The record is from RNAcentral.